Megachile rotundata (alfalfa leafcutting bee) is the source of this 3800-nucleotide unclassified non-coding RNA. NCBI's taxonomy places the organism in Eukaryota, Metazoa, Arthropoda, Insecta, Hymenoptera, Megachilidae. The record is from RefSeq and is a predicted model, not a curated record.
ACUUAAUUUUUAAAUACUUCAAAAAUACAGUAGAAAAACAAAAACUGCAUUUUAAAACAACGCUAUUAUUAAAUGUUUCUCAUCUUUAAGCUAUCGGUGAAAAAAGCGCAGUAUUAGUAACAAUAAAGGCAAUAAAGAAUUGAAACUCGUGCACACGAAACGUAAGAAGCAAAUAUGAUCAUCAAAAAGGAAGGAAGGGAAGCGUGGGAAGUUUUAUCAUUAGAACAUAUCCUGGUUAUGAUAGUAAAAUAUCAUUGGUUUUUCGUUACUCGCUGGUUGUUUCUUUAUCAUUCCUUUUUUCUCUGUUCUUUUGAUCUAGAAUGAAAUGUACAUAUCGUAUAUACUAUUCAAUCAAUUAUGCGUUGCUAUAACGAAACAUUUUACACAUAACAAAAUUGUAAUAUUAUAUUUAUACUAUGUAUUUGCACUUGUAUGUUGUGAAAUACAUUCAAUAUCAAAAACCUACAUGAGCGGCGCAGGGAUAGGUCGUCAUACUUUCAACUUAUUGCGAUGCACUAUAAAACAGCGUCAAAAUAUUCAAAAAUACAAAUUGUUUAAGCAGUUCCAAGAAAUUCUAUACGAACAUCUCAAAAAGAUAUUGUUUUUGUUUGUUGAAUUAACAUUUUCAACAUUAGUAUUCAUAAAUUUAAAAUUCUUAACCAAUAAAGAAGGAUCAUGAGAUGUUUGAGUCACGAUCAGGAAUGAAAGUUUCGCGGACAUUUGUAUAGUCUAAAUGUGACCAUAUCAAUGAAUUUUUAGACCCAAGAAUAAAUCUGGUUUCCCUAGAGAAAAUGGUGGCCGAGAGGAAACAAUCCCUACCGCCCGACAUUGUUGUGUGCUGUCAUUCGUUGCCAACUUAAUUCUGUAUGAACUGUUGCGUUUGCCGUCCGCGGUCUAGGGAUUUUGGCUCGCGCGAACUGGUGCGUAAGGAAUACAAAAUUAGUCUGAUCGUUCUGCGCUUGGCGGAGGAGAUCUUCGGGUGAUGCGGAUCGAUGCCCCUUCCUCGCUGGAUCCUGGAUCCUCCCUCAGGAUCAUCCCUUGUCCAAUGGUGGAGGAGUCCACCCCCGUCCGAUGUGGGCCCCUUCUCCUGGCUGUGGUCCACCCUCAGCCGCGUGGUGGUGGAGGCUCCGCCAAGACGCGGGAACGUAACAUUGAACAUGUGCGUAGAGAAAGCGUGAGACCCAGAGAACGCGAAAACAAAGUCCUUGUAUUAGGCGAAAAUUUACGACCCUCUUCGAGUGCAUGAAAAGACAGGAUAUUCGUGAGAGAUCUUGAAACCUUCAAGAACUGUACGCGACUUAGUCGAAAACAACAUAUUCGAUACGGUCCCUAAUAAAUUAAUCUCUACAAACAUUCAAAGUGAAGCUACGUUUAUUCUCUGGAUUCCCAAACUUUCCCAAGCAUGAACACCCACGUCGAGUGGCUUUAACAAUAUAAGCUUUGUCUAUUGUACAUGAUCGCACGCUCAGAUAGUUUAAAUUUCGCUCUUAAUUUAUGGUCAUCGAUAUAACAAAGUACAGACGCGCUCUGUAAAUAUCCUCACGGUCGUGUUGCCAUACUACAAUGACUAUAUUCAGGAUGAUAACAAGUACUUACGCUCGCGUUACACCUCCCCCCUUAUUUAAAAAGGUGUUUUCAUAAAACAACUUUUCUAUAUCCAUACGCCUUAAUAGUAGUUGCAUAUACAAUAUUAACAUUAUGUGGUGCUUUUCUCAUACAAGGUUCAUACAAAAGGUGAGCAAACAGUUAAGUCUAUUUAACAUCCAAGGUAUCUUAUUACAUACGUGUCACAAAUACGAGCAACGAGAUGCUUAACAGUCUCCAAUUAUCAUACAAGUUGCAACGAACAUAACCAUACUAGUUUAAGCAGAUCCGUGUACAUAGUGACAGAGUCUAGAGUCUAGACUAUAUUUAGCAGUAUUUCAAUUACGCGAAUACAAUAUGAGCACAUGUGUACAAAGAUAUGAACGGAGUAGCAAACUUUAUUAAUUUAAUCUGAAUUUCCGUCAGUGAUAACCUCUGGUCUAAUAUGCGCUAAUUUGAGUUUGUUUGCAUGAACAAUCUUAAAUUUAUUUUUCCCUAUUUCUAAUUCCAUAGUUAAAUCAUCAAACUUCCGAUUUAUUUUGUAAGGACCAAGCCAAUCACAGUCAAAUUUUGAGAUUUUGUGCAGCGAUGGUCUGUGUGGUGGUGAUUCUGGCGAGAAGAUCAUCAAAAUAUUGUACGAAUGUUCGAGAUGCUGGUCUCGUGGCAAAUUCCGAGGGUAUGUUGGCCUUGGUGCCAAAGACUAAUUCGUGUGGAGAGAACCCAGUGGCUUCAUGCACUGAGGUGUUAUACGAAAAGAUGCAGAACCUCACCCAGUCAUCCCAGUCUGUUUUCAUGCAAUAUAUCUUUAGGUAAUUAAUAAGACUGCGGUGUGCCCUUUCGAGCGAACCUAAUGAUUGGGGAUGAAACGCUGUGGAAGUUAUAGUUUGGAUUUUGAAGAUUUUACAGAAGUGUUUCAUUAUUCGACUAACAAAGUUUCUUCCCUGAUCUGUGUGUAUGACUCUCGGGCAACCAAAUCUACUGAUAAAUUGCUCAGCAAGUGCAAGGGCAAUCGUUACUGCAUCCAUGGAUUUUAUGGGAAUUGCAUCUGAAUAUUUCGUAAGGUUGUCCUGUAUAGUAAGCAGAUAUUGAUUUCCUUUGGAAGUUCUGGGUUGAACAGGAUCGGACAAAUUCCAUGAUUUCUUUUGCCAUGCCUAGCCAAUAAAAUCGUUGCCGGAGGAGCUGGAGUAAUUUAAAGAUACCUCUGUGGCCUCCAACCACAGAUUCAUGGUAUUCUUGGAUAAUACGAAGACGACUCGACUCAGGUGGGAUAAUAACUUCUUCGGUGCACACGGUGAUUCUAUAUUUAGGAUCAGCAAAGGUGGCAAGAAGGGAUUUGAGGGACUUCAAUGAAGAUUCGACGUGUCCAAGAUCAAAUUCGCUUUGGGAUUCACUCUUGUAAAAUAAGAGGAAGACAGAGUAUCUAUCAUGAGGAAAGGCCAUGGCGUUACUGACUUCAAUUUGGUACUGUUGGAUCUGUUCGGGGGAACAUUCGAUUCUGCUUAGCAAGCCUUUGGUGGUUUGGGAAUUAUCGUCACCGGUUAAUGGGAUAAAAUGGGCGAGAUUAUCUCGUCGCACGAAAAGAUUCUCAUCUACACAAACUACAGCGGGUGGAGCAGGGAAAGGUAUUUCUGUCAGGGUUAUUCCUCUACAAGGUUUCCUUGCACAAAUCAGAUCGCCAGCCACAACAUUCACACUCUCAAUACAACUCAACUCUUCCACGUGCCCACCUGACUUUACCGUCCGAGGUGGUAGUUUCACGUGUCCACUCGAAUCUCCUGUUCGCAGUGGUCUCAUCGGCAGUUCACCCAACAACGCAGGACGGGGUGACGCCGGCAUCGCACACUCACCCGAAUCCCCUGUUUGGUGUGACGGCGGAACCAUACACUCCAUGGGAUCACUAUUCAUUCGUGGCGACCUUGAUUGCGCCUCAGACACACAGCAAUAGCCGAUACAGAACUGUCGUCGACGAUACAAUUCAUCCUGAUGACACACUCAUUCUUUACUCCGAAGAAACGUCUCAUUGGAAGGGGAAUUGCAUUUGUACACAACACAUGAACAGUCAUAACCUGCCUCACUAUUUCGAUUUUUAUUUUCAUAAUACGUAAUUAAUAUUGUACGUGAUUAGGAUCUCUAUUACAUGUAUUAAAUAUUAUUGUACAUGUAUACUAUUAAUUGCAGAUGUUUUAUAUCUUGUAAAUAACAAUUAUUUAAAAACA